UAAAAAGCUCGUAGUCUGAGGUGUGUCUCGGACGGUCGGUUCGCCGCUUGUCGGUGCUCAACUGGCCGGUCCGGACGUCCUGCCGGUGGGGCUGUAAAAGGCUCCGUUAUCCUUCUUUGGUCCUCUUCAUCGAGUGCCUUGGUGGGCCGGCACGUUUACUUUGAACAAAUUAGAGUGCUCAAAGCAGGCCGUUGGUCGCCUGAAUACUGUGUGCAUGGAAUAAUGGAAUAGGACCUCGGUUCCAUUUUGUUGGUUUUCAGAACUCGAGGUAAUGAUUAAUAGGUACGGACGGGGGCAUUCGUAUUGCGACGUUAGAGGUGAAAUUCUUGGAUCGUCGCAAGACGAACCGAUGCGAAAGCAUUUGCCAAGAACGUUUUCGUUGAUCAAGAACGAAAGUUAGAGGUUCGAAGGCGAUCAGAUACCGCCCUAGUUCUAACCAUAAACGAUGCCAGCUAGCCAUCCGCCGAAGUUCCUUAUAUGACUCGGCGGGCAGCUUCCGGGAAACCAAAGCUCUUGGGUUCCGGGG
This 526-nucleotide ribosomal RNA is filed under the name Anax parthenope (lesser emperor dragonfly). RNAcentral describes it as "SSU rRNA". It matches the Rfam family "Eukaryotic small subunit ribosomal RNA", at positions 620 to 1119 of the family's 1831-position model. The record is from RNAcentral. Lineage: Eukaryota; Metazoa; Arthropoda; Insecta; Odonata; Aeshnidae.